CGAGUAUGGGUACUAGAAACCAUGUCAAUGCCGUCUAAUGAUGACGAUCUACGUCAACGUACAUUCCAUAAAGGUGAGUACUGGGAAUGGGAAUUUCAUCAAUCACUGAUUCGUAAUACACACUUUUGGUUUGAUUUUCGUUGGUAUGGCAAUCAUCGUUGGUAUGAAGGUACAGUAACUGUUUACAAAGGAAAUGGAUGGUACGACAAAUUCCAUAAAAAAUGCGCAAAUCAUUGUUGGUGGUCUAUUCGUCAAGAUGGAUUUUAUCUGCAGCGUGCUGAUAGACAUGGUCAGUGGGAGAGAAGAGAUACUUGGCAUUGAUUCAGCAGCAUCAUCCGAUUGAUCGAUAAAAUCAUCUAAAUGUUUUUUGGUCAGUGGGAGAGAAGAGGUACUGUGCAAAUGGUUGAUUUUUGAUCAUUAAAUUUUCCAUUGAUGAGGUAACCUGCAAGUGCAGCCCAAAAAAAUUUAAUUUACAUAAGAAUCCCUCAACGGCAUCAAAGAUUAUACUUUUGAAAGGAAAAAGCUAUAUUAGAUUUUGACAUAAAAACAAGAUUAAUGUCUUCCACACCUGUGUGUUUAAUAUCUUUCAGACUUUCAUGUCUUUCUCAUGUUUGUAUAUAUAUAUAAAAGGGGUCAUAAGGCCUUGACAUAUAUAUACACAUUCGUCUUCAAAAAUGGGAACUGGGAACAAUGGCAAUAUGAGUCCGUUGUUUUUUGUAUU
Molecule: long non-coding RNA, 721 nt
Organism: Papaver somniferum (opium poppy)
Lineage: Eukaryota; Viridiplantae; Streptophyta; Magnoliopsida; Ranunculales; Papaveraceae
Exons: 2
Source: RefSeq, a predicted model, not a curated record